This 482-nucleotide ribosomal RNA is filed under the name uncultured bacterium. RNAcentral's name for it is "partial 16S ribosomal RNA". It matches the Rfam family "Bacterial small subunit ribosomal RNA", at positions 28 to 507 of the family's 1533-position model. The record is from RNAcentral.
GUUGAACGCUGGCGGCAUGCCUUACACAUGCAAGUCGAACGGAAACAGGUCUUCGUUUGCUGACGAGUGGCGAACGGGUGCGUAAUACAUCGGAACGUGCCCGAUCGUUGGGGGUCACGGAGCGCAAGCUUUGCUAAUACCUCAUAAGAUCUACGAAUGAAAACAGGAGACCGCAAGGCCUUGCGCGAACGGUGCGGCCGCUGGCAGAUUAGCUAGUUGGUGGGAUAAAAGCUUACCAAGCCGACGAUCUGUAGCUGGUCUGAGAGGACGACCAGCCACACUGGGACUGAGACACGGCCCAGACUCCUACGGGAGGCAGCAGUGGGGAAUUUUGGACAAUGGGCGAAAGCCUGAUCCAGCAACGCCGCGUGCAGGAUGAAGGCCUUCGGGUUGUAAAAUGCUGUUGUAAGGAACGAAAAGACUCUGGUUAAUACCUGCAGUCCAUGACGGUACCGUAAGAAUAAGCACCGGCUAACUACGUG